AUGGAGGAAAAUAGUUCUGUCAGUGAGCACAUACUCAAAAUGUCUGGGUUGCACAAUCGCCUGUCCCAGCUGGACAUUAACCUUCCGGACGAGGCGGUCAUUGACAGAAUCCUUCAGUCGCUCCCACCGAGCUAUAAGAGCUUUGUGAUGAACUACAAUAUGCAGGGGAUGGUGAAAACUAUUCCUGAAGUAUUUUCAAUGCUAAAGUCGGCAGAGGUAGAAAUCAAGAAAGAACAUCAAGUGUUGAUGGUCAAUAAAACCACCAAGUUCAAGAAGGGCAAGGGUAAGAAGAACUUCAAGAAGGACGGCAAGGAUGUUGCCGCGCCUGGUAAACCAGUUGCCAGGAAGAAGUCCAGCAAUGGACCCAAGCCUGAGACUGAGUUCUUUGAUUGCAAAGGGAAGGGUCACUGGAAGCGGAACUGCCCCAAAUACUUAGCGGACAAGAAGGCCGACAACACUAAAGGUAUAUUUGAUAUACAUGUAAUUGAUGUGUACCUUACCAGUACUCAUAGUAACUCCUGGGUAUUUGAUACCGGUGCCGUUGCUCACAUUUGUAACUCACAGCAGGAGCUGCAGAAUAAGCGGAGACUGGCGAAGGACGAGGUGACGAUGCGCGUCGAGAAUGGUUCCAAGGUCGAUGUGAUCGCCGUCGGCACGCUACCUCUACAUUUACCUAUGGGAUUAGUUUUAAAACCUUAA
RNAcentral lists this ribosomal RNA (699 nucleotides) under Triticum aestivum (bread wheat). RNAcentral describes it as "partial small subunit ribosomal RNA". The record is from RNAcentral. Lineage: Eukaryota; Viridiplantae; Streptophyta; Magnoliopsida; Poales; Poaceae.